AGUGAACGCUGGCGGUAGGCCUAACACAUGCAAGUCGAACGGCAGCACAGUAAGAGCUUGCUCUUACGGGUGGCGAGUGGCGGACGGGUGAGGAAUACAUCGGAAUCUACUUUUUCGUGGGGGAUAACGUAGGGAAACUUACGCUAAUACCGCAUACGACCUACGGGUGAAAGCAGGGGAUCUUCGGACCUUGCGCGAUUGAAUGAGCCGAUGUCGGAUUAGCUAGUUGGCGGGGUAAAGGCCCACCAAGGCGACGAUCCGUAGCUGGUCUGAGAGGAUGAUCAGCCAAACUGGAACUGGGAAACGGUCCAGGAUCCUACGGGAGGCAGCAGGGGGGAAUAUUGGACAAUGGGCGGAAGCCUGAUCCAGCCAUACCGGGGGGGUGAAAGAGGCCUUCGGGUUGUAAAACCCUUUUGUUGGGAAAGAAAAGCAGCAGGUUAAAACCCCGCUGUUCUGACGGUAACCAAAGAAUAAGCACCGGCUAACUUCGUG
This 492-nucleotide ribosomal RNA is filed under the name uncultured bacterium. RNAcentral describes it as "partial 16S ribosomal RNA". It matches the Rfam family "Bacterial small subunit ribosomal RNA", at positions 29 to 507 of the family's 1533-position model. The record is from RNAcentral.